Molecule: long non-coding RNA, 199 nt
Filed under: Carica papaya (papaya)
Lineage: Eukaryota; Viridiplantae; Streptophyta; Magnoliopsida; Brassicales; Caricaceae
Description: long non-coding RNA (CPAP_LNC003697)
Source: RNAcentral
GUCGUCCCAUCAAAAGAAAGAUUUUGUUUUAAAGAGUGAUAAGAUAUUACAUAACAUAGAUAGUUUUUAGUGAUAGCCAAGACUUUAUAAUCACUUCAAUAGAACUUUUUAGAAAAUUUCUUCUGUUUGUUUUACCAUUUAUAUAGGAUAUACUAAUAUUUUAGGCUGAGAUGGGCUUGACCAUGCACCAUUCUUUCAU